GACGAACGCUGGCGGCGUGCUUAACACAUGCAAGUCGAACGGGAACCUUUAUUUCGGUACAAGGUGAGAGUGGCAAACGGGUGAGUAACACGUAGGCAACCUGCCGACAGGAUGGGGACAACAUUCCGAAAGGAAUGCUAAUACCGAAUGGAGUCCGGGGAUGGCAUCAUCCCUGGAUAAAAGAUGGCCUCUGAAUAUGCUAUCGCCUGUCGAUGGGCCUGCGUCUGAUUAGCCAGUUGGCGGGGUAACGGCCCACCAAAGCGACGAUCAGUAGCCGGUCUGAGAGGAUGAACGGCCACAUUGGGACUGAGACACGGCCCAGACUCCUACGGGAGGCAGCAGUGGGGAAUCUUCCACAAUGGGCGAAAGCCUGACGGAGCAACGCCGCGUGAGUGAAGAAGGUCUUCGGAUCGUAAAGCUCUGUUGACGGGGACGAACGUGCAAAGGGUGAAUAAUCCUUUGCAAUGACGGUACCUGUCAGAGGAAGCCACGGCUAACUACGUGCCAGCAGCCGCGGUAAUACGUAGGUGGCGAGCGUUGUCCGGAAUCAUUGGGCGUAAAGGGAGCGCAGGCGGGCAUGUAAGUCUUUCUUAAAAGUUCGGGGCUCAACCCCGUGAUGGGAAAGAAACUAUGUGUCUUGAGUACAGGAGAGGAAAGCGGAAUGCCCAGUGUAGCGGUGAAAUGCGUAGAUGUUGGGAGGAACACCAGUGGCGAAGGCGGCUUUCUGGACUGCAACUGACGCUGAGGCUCGAAAGCCAGGGGAGCGAACGGGAUUAGAUACCCCGGUAGUGCCUGGCCGUAAACGAUGGAUACUAGGUGUGGGAGGUAUCGACCCCUACCGAUGCCGGAGUCUAACGCAAUAAGUAUCCCGCCUGGGAAGUACGAUCGCAAGAUUAAAACUCAAAGGAAUUGACGGGGGCCCGCACGAGCGGUGGAGUAUGUGGUAUAAUUCGACGCAACGCGACGACCUGACGAGGGCUGACAUUGAGUGAAGACUUAUAGACCAAUCAUUCUCUCCGGAGAGACGACAACAUGGUGGUGCAUGGGCUGUCGGUCAGCGGGGUGUCAUGAGACUG
This 1076-nucleotide ribosomal RNA is filed under the name Selenomonas sp. oral taxon C23. Its description in RNAcentral is "bacterial SSU rRNA". It matches the Rfam family "Bacterial small subunit ribosomal RNA", at positions 28 to 1075 of the family's 1533-position model. Lineage: Bacteria; Bacillati; Bacillota; Negativicutes; Selenomonadales; Selenomonadaceae. The record is from RNAcentral.